AAGCUCGUAGUUGAAUUUUGGACCCGGCUGUUGUGGUCGGCCGCAUAGGUCUGUACUCUUCUGGCCGGGUCUUUCCUUCUGGAGAACCGCUAUGCCAUUCACUUGGUGUGACGGAGAUCCAGGACUUUUACCUUGAAAAAAUUAGAGUGUUUAAAGCAGGCAUAUGCUUGAAUACAUUAGCAUGGAAUAAUAGAAUAGGACUUUGGUUCUAUUUUGUUGGUUUCUAGGACCGCCGUAAUGAUGAAUAGGGACAGUCGGGGGCAUCAGUAUUCAGUUGCCGGAGGUGAAAUUCUUGGAUCUACUGAAGACUAACUACUGCGAAAGCAUUUGCCAAGGAUGUUUUCAUUAAUCAGGAACGAAAGUUAGGGGAUCGAAGACGAUCAGAUACCGUCGUAGUCUUAACCAUAAACUAUGCCGACUAGGGAUCGGACGAUGUUAUUUAGUUGACUCGUUCGGCA
This 458-nucleotide ribosomal RNA is filed under the name uncultured fungus. RNAcentral's name for it is "bacterial SSU rRNA". It matches the Rfam family "Eukaryotic small subunit ribosomal RNA", at positions 624 to 1085 of the family's 1831-position model. The record is from RNAcentral. Lineage: Eukaryota; Fungi.